CGGGCAAACGGCGUGCUCUGUCCUCCUGCCUGAACCCAGCGAGCCUGAGGGGCGAAGCAGAGAGAGAAAAAAAAAAAAAGGCGACAGGAGUGUGUAGUCUCCUGAGGAUGGUAAUCAUGUGUUUUAAUGGUUUAAUGAUGUCUUGGCAGACCUCACAGUUCAUCCCAGGAGGGUUAACAGUCCCUGGUGAAUACAACCACACACACACACACACACACACAGAGUUAUAAAUAGCACAGUCUUAAUUGAAAACUUUCACAACUUCCUCCUUGCUGUAGGUUCAACAUGUUUCCUGUCAGUUUACCUACUUUACAAGAGAAACAAAGCGUAUCCGAGAGCCGAGACGACGCGAUGAUGUGACCGUCCUCUCUGGCUACACUAUGUGAAAUUCGUCUAGCUGAGCUCCUCUGCAUAAUUAAUGCAUUUUAAUUGGAGUGUUUUUCCUGCCGCAUUUCUUAUUCAUGAGCUGUUAUUGGAGGAUGACUGGAGGCCAAUCAGCACGUCUGUGUCAUUACUGCUGAUUGGAACCUGAGGGCCUAAAAAACUCCGACAGGAAGGAUCGCUGCAGUGAAAACGUUGGAAGCUCACACAGGAAAAGCGGAACAGCAGGACUGACCACCGUAGCCCUUUAAGUUCAGCAGGUUCAGGGUUUGGGAAGGUCCAGGUUAACAACCUUUAAGUCCUCCUCGUGGAAAAGCAGCUUUAACGAGAUGAAGUAAAGGAC
Molecule: long non-coding RNA, 724 nt
Organism: Thunnus maccoyii (southern bluefin tuna)
Lineage: Eukaryota; Metazoa; Chordata; Actinopteri; Scombriformes; Scombridae
Exons: 3
Source: RefSeq, a predicted model, not a curated record